UCUGGUGCCCAUAGCGUCCCGGAACCACCCCUUCCCUUCCCGAACAGGACCGUGAAACAGGACCGCGCCAAUGAUAUUGCCCUUCCCGGGUGAGAAAGUAGGUCAGCGCCAGAC
This 114-nucleotide ribosomal RNA is filed under the name Candidatus Nitricoxidivorans perseverans. Lineage: Bacteria; Pseudomonadati; Pseudomonadota; Betaproteobacteria; Nitrosomonadales; Sterolibacteriaceae. The record is from RNAcentral.